RNAcentral lists this ribosomal RNA (179 nucleotides) under uncultured soil bacterium. RNAcentral's name for it is "partial 16S ribosomal RNA". It matches the Rfam family "Bacterial small subunit ribosomal RNA", at positions 26 to 215 of the family's 1533-position model. The record is from RNAcentral.
AGAUUGAACGCUGGCGGCAUGCUUUACACAUGCAAGUCGUGCGGCAGCGCGGGGGCAACCCUGGCGGCGAGCGGCGAACGGGUGAGGAAUACAUCGGAACGUACCCCGGAGUGGGGAUAACCCAGCGAAAGUUGGACUAAUACCGCAUAUGCUCUGAGGAGGAAAGCGAGGGGACUUCG